GAUUUGUUUCAGCCGCCGCGGUAAUGCGUAGGGUGCAAGCGUUAAUCGGAAUUACUGGGCGUAAAGCGUGCGCAGGCGGUUAUGCAAGACAGAGGUGAAAUCCCCGGGCUCAACCUGGGAACUGCCUUUGUGACUGCAUGGCUAGAGUACGGUAGAGGGGGAUGGAAUUCCGCGUGUAGCAGUGAAAUGCGUAGAUAUGCGGAGGAACACCGAUGGCGAAGGCAAUCCCCUGGACCUGUACUGACGCUCAUGCACGAAAGCGUGGGAAGCAAACAGGAUUAGAUACCCUGGUAGUCCACGCCCUAAACGAUGUCAACUGGUUGUUGGGAGGGUUUCUUCUCAGUAACGUAGCUAACGCGUGAAGUUGACCGCCUGGGGAGUACGGCCGCAAGGUUGAAACUCAAAGGAAUUGACGGGGACCCGCACAAGCGGUGGAUGAUGUGGUUUAAUUCGAUGCAACGCGAAAAACCUUACCUACCCUUGACAUGCCAGGAAUCCUGAAGAGAUUUGGGAGUGCUCGAAAGAGAGCCUGGACACAGGUGCUGCAUGGCCGUCGUCAGCUCGUGUCGUGAGAUGUUGGGUUAAGUCCCGCAACGAGCGCAACCCUUGUCAUUAGUUGCUACGAAAGGGCACUCUAAUGAGACUGCCGGUGACAAACCGGAGGAAGGUGGGGAUGACGUCAGGUCAUCAUGGCCCUUAUGGGUAGGGCUACACACGUCAUACAAUGGCCGGGACAGAGGGCUGCCAACCCGCGAGGGGGAGCUAAUCCCAGAAACCCGGUCGUAGUCCGGAUCGUAGUCUGCAACUCGACUGCGUGAAGUCGGAAUCGCUAGUAAUCGCGGAUCAGCUUGCCGCGGUGAAUACGUUCCCGGGUCUUGUACACACCGCCCGUCAAAC
Molecule: ribosomal RNA, 897 nt
Filed under: uncultured bacterium
Lineage: Bacteria
Description: bacterial SSU rRNA
Rfam family: Bacterial small subunit ribosomal RNA
Source: RNAcentral